This 253-nucleotide ribosomal RNA is filed under the name uncultured bacterium. RNAcentral describes it as "partial 16S ribosomal RNA". It matches the Rfam family "Bacterial small subunit ribosomal RNA", at positions 524 to 776 of the family's 1533-position model. The record is from RNAcentral.
UACGUAGGGGGCGAGCGUUGUCCGGAUUUACUGGGCGUAAAGAGCGCGCAGGCGGUCGAUCAAGUCGAGUGUGAAAGCCCCCGGCUCAACUGGGGAGGGUCAUUCGAUACUGAUCGACUCGAAGGCAGGAGAGGGUAGUGGAAUUCCCGGUGUAGUGGUGAAAUGCGUAGAUAUCGGGAGGAACACCAGUGGCGAAGGCGACUACCUGGCCUGUUCUUGACGCUGAGGCGCGAAAGCUAGGGGAGCGAACGGG